This 327-nucleotide ribosomal RNA is filed under the name Triticum aestivum (bread wheat). RNAcentral describes it as "partial small subunit ribosomal RNA". Lineage: Eukaryota; Viridiplantae; Streptophyta; Magnoliopsida; Poales; Poaceae. The record is from RNAcentral.
AUGACAUUACUGCUAUGCAUCAAAAUCAUUCAGAAGGGUUUAAGGUUUCAGAAAAAGGACAAUAUUCUCUUCACAAUGAACUUGGUCAAAGCACAUAAUGCAAUUUAUCUAUGUAGUGGAAUUUGUUAUCGGCUAGAGGGAGUUAUGGGUUUAGAGCUUAAAAUAAUUGCUUAUUGUCUAUUAUUGCUACAGAUUGAAAUGUUUUCUUCUAGAUACUCAAGCAUGGGAGGCAGCAUGGAUUUAUUUAUGAAAGGUGGCAGACACAACCAUGAGGUGUUCACGCACAUUUACCUGCAUUCUUAUCUUGACCAUGGGAGCCAAUUCUGA